AGCUCCAAUAGCGUAUAUUAAAGUUGUUGCAGUUAAAAAGCUCGUAGUUGGAUUUCGGAGCCGACCGGGCGGUCUGUCGAGAGACACGCACUGCUCGGUGGCUCUUCCUCUCGGAGGCCCUGGCUGCCCUUAACUGGAGCGGGCAGGGGAUUCGGGACGUUUACUUUGAAAAAAUUAGAGUGUUCAAGGCAGGCGUCACUAGCUUGAAUACAUGAGCAUGGAAUAAUGGAAUAGGACCUCGGUCCCUAUUUCGUUGGUUUUAUGGACCGAGGUAAUGAUUAAGAGGGACAGUUGGGGGCAUCCGUAUUUCGCAGUCAGAGGUGAAAUUCUUGGAUCUGCGAAAGACGAACAAGUGCGAAAGCAUUUGCCAAGAGUGUUUUCAUUAAUCAAGAACGAAAGU
This 400-nucleotide ribosomal RNA is filed under the name phytoplankton environmental sample. RNAcentral describes it as "partial small subunit ribosomal RNA". It matches the Rfam family "Eukaryotic small subunit ribosomal RNA", at positions 587 to 990 of the family's 1831-position model. The record is from RNAcentral.